Molecule: ribosomal RNA, 252 nt
Filed under: uncultured bacterium
Lineage: Bacteria
Description: partial 16S ribosomal RNA
Rfam family: Bacterial small subunit ribosomal RNA
Source: RNAcentral
UACGUAGGGGGCAAGCGUUGUCCGGAAUUAUUGGGCGUAAAGCGCGCGCAGGCGGUCAUUUAAGUCUGGUGUUUAAUCCCGAAGCUCAACUUCGGGUCGCAUCGGAAACUGGAUGACUUGAGUGCAGAAGAGGAGAGUGGAAUUCCACGUGUAGCGGUGAAAUGCGUAGAGAUGUGGAGGAACACCAGUGGCGAAGGCGACUCUCUGGGCUGUAACUGACGCUGAGGCGCGAAAGCGUGGGGAGCAAACAGG